RNAcentral lists this transfer RNA (81 nucleotides) under Micropygomyia chassigneti. Its description in RNAcentral is "tRNA-Gly". Lineage: Eukaryota; Metazoa; Arthropoda; Insecta; Diptera; Psychodidae. The record is from RNAcentral.
AUUUAUAUAAUAAUUUAUUUAUAUAAUAUAAUAAGUAUAAUUGACUUCCAAUCAAAAAGUCUAAAUAAAUUAGUAUAAAUA